CCUACGGGUGGCAGCAGUCGAGAAUCAUUCACAAUGGGGGAAACCCUGAUGGUGCGACGCCGCGUGGGGGAAUGAAGGUCUUCGGAUUGUAAACCCCUGUCAUGUGGGAGCAAAUUAAAAAGAUAGUACCACAAGAGGAAGAGACGGCUAACUCUGUGCCAGCAGCCGCGGUAAUACAGAGGUCUCAAGCGUUGUUCGGAAUCACUGGGCGUAAAGCGUGCGUAGGCUGUUUCGUAAGUCGUGUGUGAAAGGUGCGGGCUCAACCCGCGGACGGCACAUGAUACUGCGAGACUAGAGUAAUGGAGGGGGAACCGGAAUUCUCGGUGUAGCAGUGAAAUGUGUAGAUAUCGAGAGGAACACUCGUGGCGAAGGCGGGUUCCUGGACAUUAACUGACGCUGAGGCACGAAGGCCAGGGGAGCGAAAGGGAUUAGAUACCCGUGUAGUC
This 446-nucleotide ribosomal RNA is filed under the name uncultured bacterium. RNAcentral's name for it is "partial 16S ribosomal RNA". It matches the Rfam family "Bacterial small subunit ribosomal RNA", at positions 338 to 795 of the family's 1533-position model. The record is from RNAcentral.